AGUGAACGCUGGCGGUAGGCCUAACACAUGCAAGUCGAACGGCAGCACAGUAAGAGCUUGCUCUUACGGGUGGCGAGUGGCGGACGGGUGAGGAAUACAUCGGAAUCUACUUUUUCGUGGGGGAUAACGUAGGGAAACUUACGCUAAUACCGCAUACGACCUACGGGUGAAAGCAGUGGAUCUUCGGACCUUGCGCGAUUGAAUGAGCCGAUGUCGGAUUAGCUGGUUGGCGGGUGAAAGGCCCACCAAGGCGACGAUCCGUAGCUGGUCUGAGAGGAUGAUCGGCAACACUGGAACGGAGACACGGGCCAGACUCCUAAGGGAGGCAGCAGUGGGGAAUAUUGGACAAUGGGCGGAAGCCUGAUCCAGCCAUACCGCGUGGGUGAAGAAGGCCUUCGGGUUGUAAAGCACGUUUGUUGGGAAAGAAAAGCAGCAGGUUAAUACCCCGCUGUUCUGACGGUACCCAAAGAAUAAGCACCGGCUAACUUCGUG
RNAcentral lists this ribosomal RNA (492 nucleotides) under uncultured bacterium. Its description in RNAcentral is "partial 16S ribosomal RNA". It matches the Rfam family "Bacterial small subunit ribosomal RNA", at positions 29 to 507 of the family's 1533-position model. The record is from RNAcentral.